GGGAAUGUAGCUCAGUUGGUGGAGCACUUGCCUAGCAUGUAUAAUGCUCUGGGUUCAAUCCCCAGCACCACUA
Molecule: transfer RNA, 73 nt
Filed under: Ictidomys tridecemlineatus (thirteen-lined ground squirrel)
Lineage: Eukaryota; Metazoa; Chordata; Mammalia; Rodentia; Sciuridae
Description: Spermophilus tridecemlineatus (thirteen-lined ground squirrel) tRNA
Rfam family: tRNA
About the family: Transfer RNA (tRNA) molecules are approximately 80 nucleotides in length.
Source: Rfam by way of RNAcentral